GCCCAGAUGGGAUUAGCUUGUUGGUGAGGUAACGGCUCACCAAGGCGACGAUCCCUAGCUGGUCUGAGAGGAUGACCAGCCACACUGGAACUGAGACACGGUCCAGACUCCUACGGGAGGCAGCAGUGGGGAAUAUUGCACAAUGGGCGCAAGCCUGAUGCAGCCAUGCCGCGUGUAUGAAGAAGGCCUUCGGGUUGUAAAGUACUUUCAGCGGGGAGGAAGGUGUUGUGGUUAAUAACCGCAGCAAUUGACGUUACCCGCAGAAGAAGCACCGGCUAACUCCGUGCCAGCAGCCGCGGUAAUACGGAGGGUGCAAGCGUUAAUCGGAAUUACUGGGCGUAAAGCGCACGCAGGCGGUCUGUCAAGUCGGAUGUGAAAUCCCCGGGCUCAACCUGGGAACUGCAUUCGAAACUGGCAGGCUUGAGUCUUGUAGAGGGGGGUAGAAUUCCAGGUGUAGCGGUGAAAUGCGUAGAGAUCUGGAGGAAUACCGGUGGCGAAGGCGGCCCCCUGGACAAAGACUGACGCUCAGGUGCGAAAGCGUGGGGAGCAAACAGGAUUAGAUACCCUGGUAGUCCACGCCGUAAACGAUGUCUACUUGGAGGUUGUGCCCUUGAGGCGUGGCUUCCGGAGCUAACGCGUUAAGUAGACCGCCUGGGGAGUACGGCCGCAAGGUUAAAACUCAAAUGAAUUGACGGGGGCCCGCACAAGCGGUGGAGCAUGUGGUUUAAUUCGAUGCAACGCGAAGAACCUUACCUGGUCUUGACAUCCACAGAAGAAUCCAGAGAUGGAUUUGUGCCUUCGGGAACUGUGAGACAGGUGCUGCAUGGCUGUCGUCAGCUCGUGUUGUGAAAUGUUGGGUUAAGUCCCGCAACGAGCGCAACCCUUAUCCUUUGUUGCCAGCGGUUAGGCCGGGAACUCAAAGGAGACUG
This 929-nucleotide ribosomal RNA is filed under the name Salmonella enterica. Its description in RNAcentral is "bacterial SSU rRNA". It matches the Rfam family "Bacterial small subunit ribosomal RNA", at positions 229 to 1151 of the family's 1533-position model. Lineage: Bacteria; Pseudomonadati; Pseudomonadota; Gammaproteobacteria; Enterobacterales; Enterobacteriaceae. The record is from RNAcentral.